RNAcentral lists this ribosomal RNA (234 nucleotides) under uncultured bacterium. RNAcentral's name for it is "partial 16S ribosomal RNA". It matches the Rfam family "Bacterial small subunit ribosomal RNA", at positions 15 to 236 of the family's 1533-position model. The record is from RNAcentral.
GAUCCUGGCUCAGGAUGAACGCUAGCUACAGGCUUAACACAUGCAAGUCGAGGGGAAACGACAUCGAAGGCUUGUCUUUUGAUGGGCGUCGACCGGCGCACGGGUGAGUAACGCGGUAUCCAACCUGCCCAUCACUUGGGAAUAACCUUGCGAAAGUAAGACUAAUGCCCAAUGACAUCCCACGAAGGCAUCCGAAUGGGAUUAAAGAUUUAUCGGUGAUGGAUGGGGAUGCGU